GUGCUCACUUGGGUAACACAUAUACUAAAACUAGAAAAAUACAAAGAUUAGCACAGCCUCUGCACAAGGUUGACAUGCAAAUUCGUGAAGCAUUCCACAUUUUU
Cynocephalus volans (Philippine flying lemur) is the source of this 104-nucleotide small nuclear RNA. NCBI's taxonomy places the organism in Eukaryota, Metazoa, Chordata, Mammalia, Dermoptera, Cynocephalidae. The record is from RefSeq and is a predicted model, not a curated record.